CUGAGCUCCAAAUGCAGGGGGCCGGGGUUUGAUCUCAGGUCAGGGAACUAGAUCUCACAUGCAUGCUGUAACUAAGAGUCCACAUGCCUCAACUAAAGAUGCCACAUAGGCCAAUGAAAAUCCCGUGGUGCCACAACCCAGCACAGCCAAAUAAAUACAUAAAUAAAUAUUUUUAAAAAAAGAAUUGAGAAGCUUUCAAACUCAGGGUAUAUACAAGUUUUCCAAAAUUUUAGUUUUCCCUUGAAAGCUCCAAUAUAAAAAAUCAUUGGUAACAGAUACUAUAAGCUAUUUCCUUGAAGUGACUGGCUCAUUUCAUUCAUUUUUGAGAAAAUAUCUGCCAAAUAUUUGAGUCCGAAUGGCUUCUGUAUCGGUUGUUCUUUUCAGUUGAAAUGUUGUUCUGUGAAGAAAGCAGCUGCUUCAACCCACAGCUCAAAUAAAGCACUACCGUUCUUUCUCAGUGCUUUUCCAGGAGACAACCAUCUUACCAAGGUCUGCAGCACAAGUGCUUUGUAUGUACUUCCAUUUUUAUUAUAUAGGAUAUUAGAAAGAUGUAUACCCAAGAGUUAUGAUUUAAUCAAAUUAUUAAUUUUUACUGCUUUAUUUAGUACAUUGUAUUAAUAGACUUAAAAAAAAAAGACAGCAUGAUGGUGAGCAAUAAAAUCACUACUAGUAUAGUUUGGUGCCUCUGCCAUGAUUCAGGAUAAGGUAUAAGCGGUUUUCCCCACCGUUGCUUUUGCACCAUUAGGGCAAAUGUUAACACAGUGAAAAAGGCAAGUGACUUCUUAGUAUUACGAAAAUUAUUUAGAUCUCGUGGUGCCCCUCCUCCCCCAGGGUCCGCGGACCACACUUUGAGAACCGUCGGUUGCUCUAGGUCGCAGCAUCUUGUCCUAACCUCCACCUAACUUUACAUUCAUUAAGUUCUGAUCUUUCGUCCUUCUGAGUCCGCAGAAACAGCCCAGCGUUCUUCUCUCGAACACCUGGGGCGGCUGCUUCCAGCCGGAGGCAGAGCUGCGGGGCGUGGCCAGCGCAGCAUCGCAGCUGGUACCCGAGGGGCCCUCACCCUUCUUUCCCUUACCUCACUUCCUCUUCCCCUCCCCCAGCCCCUUUAACCCUUCGUUUUCCCCAAGGACGGAAAGAAAGCGAGAGGAAAAGCCUCAAUUUAAAAGAAGCCACCAGAGGAAUGGUGCUGGGACAGGGGACACUCUGCACAGCACAUAAACGACUGUGACAUGCUGCAGUGAACACCUUGCACUUAUGUGUCUGUACAAUUUGGCGACACAGAUUCGAGCCCUGGUCCGGGAAGAACCCACAUGUUGCAGAGCAACUAAAUCCAUGCACCACAACUACUAAGGCUGCGCUCUAGAGCCUGCGAGCCACAACUACUGAGCCCACGUGCCACAAC
Molecule: non-coding RNA, 1402 nt
Organism: Kogia breviceps (pygmy sperm whale)
Lineage: Eukaryota; Metazoa; Chordata; Mammalia; Artiodactyla; Physeteridae
Source: RefSeq, a predicted model, not a curated record